This is a long non-coding RNA of Cyphomyrmex costatus, 807 nucleotides long. RefSeq lists it as uncharacterized. The transcript has 3 exons. NCBI's taxonomy places the organism in Eukaryota, Metazoa, Arthropoda, Insecta, Hymenoptera, Formicidae. The record is from RefSeq and is a predicted model, not a curated record.
GUACAACACAUACGUACAAUACGUGACCCUUGCUUAAAACUAUGUUACGCUCGUCCGGUAUGCAUUUCCACUUAAUUUUUAAUCUUGCCCUCUCGACACAACGUGACGCGUGUAAUUUUGUGUGUUGACCGCGUACGUGUCCACGCACGUCUCGUGUGUAUUUGUGCGUGUACUUUGUAUGUGUGUGUGUGUGUGUGUAUCCGUGUAUAUGUUGAGUGUACUGUGUACGAUAUGUUACAAACUUUUUAGGAACAUUUCUCGUGGAAUGCCGCGAGCGGUAAUAAUAAGGUCGCAGCGAAACUACACGAAAACAAUGCGCAGUCAUCUGCAGCUUCAUCCUCGACUUCGAUAUAUUGAUUAGACAGUUAUCGAAAAAUGACACCAAUAUAGACGAUUGUUGACUGGACAGACUCCGAAUAUUUAUGACUGAAAGGCGCCAGGGAGAAGUCGCGAGUCGCGCGUUAAUUAACCGUUUGCGCCCCGCGUAUGUCCAUUGCAAAAUCCCUGAUGUCUUCAUGGAAUUCUUCAAUAUUGAGAUAAUGCGACGCACCUACAUGGAUGUGCAUGCGACGGCGUCUGAUCCGCACAAAGGGAUGAGUUUCAGCGAUCCGCUCGUCGCGACGAGGAAACCCUGGCGCCCCUCAAAUUUCGAACGCAAAACACUGUCAGAUACCACCAUCCCUCUUCAAUAAGCCCCCCAAUCCCCCCUCCUUGAUUAUCGCAAAUCGUGGUCAACAUAAGCACACAAAUCAAUGCCUAAUAUCAUUCACUAAGGUACCGUCCUCUGCCCCCCCCCCCUCUCUCGCC